Molecule: long non-coding RNA, 1022 nt
Filed under: Triticum aestivum (bread wheat)
Lineage: Eukaryota; Viridiplantae; Streptophyta; Magnoliopsida; Poales; Poaceae
Description: long non-coding RNA (TAES_LNC016729)
Source: RNAcentral
GGUUGCCCAACUGCCGGGAUAAGCCACACAACAUUCUCCCUAUCCGUUCCUGCAGCAGGUAUAUAUGCUCCUUCCUACUAGUAGUACUUAAAUCUGAAUCCCAGCGGGUAUGCGAUUGGUUUUCAGUUUUGCUGGACACAUAUCUGGAUUCGGAACUGACUAGAACAUGAUGAUUUUGUUAGCCCACUGAAGAAUUACCCAACACCUCAAUACUCUGCCACACUAUGUUGAGUUUUUUUAAUCAUGUGCGAGUUAAUUGAUACUACAAUAGUCUGUUUAGUCCUAGUUCUUUGCAGGACCUUGUUCUGUUAGACUCAGCAUAGAAGUAUGCUAUUCUUGCAGUGUCAUGAGGAAUAAACAUGCUGAUUUCAUAUGUCGUCCUAUGGAAGUCACCAGACUUUUUUUAUCAACACUAAUUUCAGAUAGAUAGGUGCUGCUUACCAUACCUAAGAGUGUAGCAUGCUGUGAAGGGAUACUCCAAAGUAGAAAAUUAAAAGAUGUUAGUAAAAUCAGUAUGCAUCCCUAGUGAUGCUUUAUCUUGUUAUUUUUGUCUAAGUGUUGUGCUGUAGCAUCACUGACUAGUAUGUUUUUUCUCAAGGUCUAUACAAGUGCCAUCUAUGUCUGGCAACAUAAGCCUCUUGUCAUGUCAUGUAUCUAUUAUCACGUUAAAUGUUUUAUUAAGUGAAUGUUGUAUUUCUUGAAAGCGUUGAUGUACUGAUGCGAACACUGGUUGUGUAGUUAUGACUAAUCAGUUUUCCCCUCUCUUAUAUAGGAGUUCCUAGGUCGAAGAAAUUCCAAGAAGCUCGAAGCCCCUGUCAGCGACUUGCUUUAUAUGUUAUUGAACUUGUAAUGCAGAAUUUUCUUGGAAUUUUGAUGUAAGGCUGAUCUUGGGAAUUGGGUGUAUAUUUACUUGCUGUACUUGUUAUUCAAAUGCUGGUUGUACUUGUUAUACAAAUGCUUGGAAUUUAAAUUUGUACUAAAUGUAUAUAUAGUACUGAAAGAGGCCUUGGCCCAAACGCUAC